AAAAAUAUGGAAUGCUUCACGAAUUUGAGUGUCAUCCUUGUGCAGGGGCCAUGCUAAUCUUCUCUGUAUCAUUCCAAUUUUAGUAUAUAUGUUGCCGAAGCGAGCAC
Molecule: small nuclear RNA, 107 nt
Filed under: Cricetulus griseus (Chinese hamster)
Lineage: Eukaryota; Metazoa; Chordata; Mammalia; Rodentia; Cricetidae
Source: RNAcentral